RNAcentral lists this ribosomal RNA (443 nucleotides) under uncultured bacterium. Its description in RNAcentral is "partial 16S ribosomal RNA". It matches the Rfam family "Bacterial small subunit ribosomal RNA", at positions 338 to 795 of the family's 1533-position model. The record is from RNAcentral.
CCUACGGGCGGCAGCAGUGGGGGAUAUUGGACAAUGGGGGCAACCCUGAUCCAGCGACGCCGCGUGAGUGAAGAAGUAUUUCGGUAUGUAAAGCUCUAUCAGCAGGGGAGAAAGACAUGACGGUCCCUGAGUAAGAAGCCCCGGCUAAAUACGUGCCAGCAGCCGCGGUACUACGUAGGGGGCAAGCGUUAUCCGGAAUUACUGGGGUUACAGGGCGCGUGGACGGUAAUGCAAGUCUGGAGUAAAAGGCGGGGGCCCAAACCCCGGACUGCUCUGGAAACUGUGUAACUGGAGUGCAGGAGAGGCAGGCGGAAUUCCUGGUGUAGCGGUGAAAUGCGUAGAUAUUAGGAGGAACACCAGUGGCGAAGGCGGCCUGCUGGACUGUAACUGACGUUGAGGCUCGAAAGCGUGGGGAGCAAACAGGAUUAGAUACCCCUGUAGUC